RNAcentral lists this ribosomal RNA (462 nucleotides) under uncultured bacterium. RNAcentral's name for it is "bacterial SSU rRNA". It matches the Rfam family "Bacterial small subunit ribosomal RNA", at positions 32 to 472 of the family's 1533-position model. The record is from RNAcentral.
AAUCAACGCUGGCGGCGUGCCUAACACAUGCAAGUCGAACGAGAAAGUGACUUCGGUCACUGGACAGUGGCGUCCGGGUGAGUAACACGUGGGUAAUCUACCUUCGGGUGGGGAAUAACGUCUCGAAAGAGACGCUAAUACCGCAUAAUGCAGCGGCACCUUAUGGUGAAUAGUUGUUAAAGCGGGGGAGUCGCAAGACCUCGCGCCUGAAGAGGAGCCUGCGGCAGANAGUCUUGUUGGUGAGGUAAUGGCUCACCAAGGCUGCGAUCUGUAGCUGGUCUGAGAGGACGGCCAGCCACACUGGCACUGACACACGGGCCAGACUCCUACGGGAGGCAGCAGUGGGGAAUUUUGGCAAUGGGCGCAAGCCUGACCCAGCAACGCCGCGUGAGGGAGGAAAUCCUUCGGGAUGUAAACCUCAUAAGUAAGGGAAGAGCGCGGAAGAUUGAAUACAUCUUCCGC